GAUGAACGCUGACAGAAUGCUUAACACAUGCAAGUCGAUGGGGAAGUGGUGCUUGCACCGUGGCAACCAUGGCGGACGGGUGAGUAACGCGUAAGGGACUUACCUGCAGGACUGGGGUAACAGGGGGAAACUCCUGACAAGACCGGAUAAUGUAAUGGAGCUGCAUGGCUUUGUGAUGAAAGGAGACGCCUGCGGAGAGCCUUGCGGCCUAUUAGCUAGUUGGUGAGGUAAUGGCUCACCAAGGCGAAGAUAGGUAGCCGGCCUGAGAGGGGGGACGGCCACAAGGGGACUGAGAUGCGGCCGUGACUCCUACGGGAGGCAGGAGUGGAGAAUAUUGGACAAUGGGGGCGACCCUGAUCCAGGAAUUCUGUGUGCACGAAGAAGGUUUUCGGAGUGAAAAGUGCUUUCAGAAGAGAAGAAGUAAGUGACGGUACCUGCAGAAGAAGCGACGGCUAAAUACGUG
This 463-nucleotide ribosomal RNA is filed under the name uncultured bacterium. RNAcentral's name for it is "partial 16S ribosomal RNA". It matches the Rfam family "Bacterial small subunit ribosomal RNA", at positions 28 to 507 of the family's 1533-position model. The record is from RNAcentral.